This 820-nucleotide unclassified non-coding RNA is filed under the name Hevea brasiliensis (rubber tree). The record is from RNAcentral. Lineage: Eukaryota; Viridiplantae; Streptophyta; Magnoliopsida; Malpighiales; Euphorbiaceae.
AUGAAGAUGGAAGAAGAUGGAUCACUUUUAGACAUCUUUUCUUGACCUUGCUGUAAACCGGGGAGCAUGUAAUGAGAUAAAAUGAUAGGCUUGUUUUUCCUCUUGAUGUCAUCACAGUAUUCUCUUGCAAGUACAUUCACUUUCCGUUGAUCCAUGCCCAACUGACAAAUGUCAGCCUUGAGAAAAAAUAUGUCAGCACACUGCAUGCAUGGAUAAAGAAUCUGGGCUGCUGUCAGCUCGUCUUGCUCACUACGACCCAUUAUUUGAACACACCUCAUUAUCCUGGGAAGCUUGUUCCUACGAGCUAUAUCCAUUACAAGAGGCCAGUACUCAGAUGCCCGAGAGUUAAUUUCCUCUGAAGACCAUAGAAAUUCAACUUUAUCUCCUUCAAGAUCCAUCCCAACUGCCUUCCAUAUCUCAAUCAAAUAACGUCCUACCGUUUGAAUUUUCUUCAAGUCUCCUCCCAUUUUGUUGUUUAGCUGGGCAAACCAAUCAGCAAUCCAAAUUUUCACUUUGCAACCAGCAGAAGUCAGUUUAUUCACAUUGAUUGUCUUCAUAACUCCCUGGGCAAUGUGCAUUCUCCCAGAAGGCUCAAACCCAUCAUAGCAAAUGGGUUGGGGCUUCUUGGCGAGAAGAUUGAAGAGCUCAUCCUCUUGAAUACACUCUUCUCCAACACUCCUCACGAUACGGAACCUCUCUUCUGGAGUCAUCUGGGAGAGGUAGAAUUAGAACUUGAAUCGGUAGAGUUGACGGAGAGGUACUGCAUCGCUUGGGUUGGUGGGAUUUGCUCCUCCGUUGACAUGCUUGCAUCUGAGGAACC